This 254-nucleotide ribosomal RNA is filed under the name uncultured bacterium. RNAcentral's name for it is "partial 16S ribosomal RNA". It matches the Rfam family "Bacterial small subunit ribosomal RNA", at positions 524 to 776 of the family's 1533-position model. The record is from RNAcentral.
UACGUAGGGGGCUAGCGUUGUCCGGAUUUAUUGGGCGUAAAGAGCUCGUAGGCGGUCUGUCGCGUCGAUCGUGAAAACUUGGGGCUUAACCCUGAGCUUGCGGUCGAUACGGGCAUGACUGGAGUUCGGCAGGGGAGACUGGAAUUCCUGGUGUAGCGGUGAAAUGCGCAGAUAUCAGGAGGAACACCGGUGGCGAAGGCGGGUCUCUGGGCCGAUACUGACGCUGAGGAGCGAAAGCGUGGGGAGCGAACAGG